CCGGAGACGAGGGGGUUUCUGAGAAAACGUGUUGUGGGUGAGGUGUGUGGUCAGGUUUCCUAUAAGAAAAGGUUGAUUGAGCUGCUCAAAGUGCAAAUACUCAGCACUCAUGUUUGCCAAGAAAAGGCUGAGGGGUGUGGUCUUUGUUAAUAGUUUUCUGUGCUCCUGAUAACUCCCCCACAUACACACAUAUACACAGUCAGGAAGUCACUGUAGAGGCAACAAAACGAGAGGAAAUGCAGAAGUUACCAUAAGAAAAGCUCCGGCUGCUUCCUUAAUAGUAUGUUAUGAUUUCAAAUUUAUCAUAGAAUGGGUUUGUUCGAUUUUUGGCAUAAUAAACUAUUUAAUCAAUUCAGCAUUUCAAGUUAAAACAUAGAGACCUUUACUUGCUAAACUAAUGUGUUUUUGCUCAUUGAGGAGGCUAGCUAGAUAUAUUCGAAUAUCUAUGAUAAAAUAUAAAAUACAAAAUCUUUGGUUAGGAAACUGUAAUAACUAGCCAGGGUUCGUGAUAAUCACCUACGACACUCCCACUUUUACCAAGAAUGGACACAAUCUUGCGGCACGUUUUGUUGCAAUUUUCUCCUUCCAAAACAGACAGAUCCCAGUUCCUAUCCACGUUUAUUAUGUAUGUUUCUCUUGAACUGUGAUUGUUGUCCGCUGUUAAUAGUUUGACACGCUCUUUAAAAUAAUGCUUUAAUUUUACAUCGUAUUCAGUAAGCUCAGCUUUACAUUCGCUAAUGUCAUCUUGUUCGAGUUGAUCUAGCAAAAACUUCAACACAUCAUAGUGAAACCAUGAGAUGGGAAGGGUUAUCCUCAGAAACAGAUUGUCUAUAGUAUGAGCCUUUUUGAAUACUUUGGAGUAUGCAUGAGGUAUUUUUUUCAGGGCCUUUUUCACGUCUGAAAAGCAAUAACGAUUCUUGAUCCGUUCUACCAGAUCAUCAAAAUCUGACUGAAGGUUCCUUGUUUGCUUUCCUAAAGCUUGCCUCUCUAAAAACUGUGGGACAUGAAUAUGAAUGGCUGCCAGAUGUUUUUCUUUUUCCAGAACGAUAUUUUUCAGAAUGAUAUUACGUUCUGUCUCUUGAAUCUCUUUGGACGGGGUUGCGGAAACUACGACAAUAGUAUCAUGUAGUAUAGAACUCUCAGACAUAGUGUUAACUCUCUAACUAGUACAACUUGUUACUAUACUGCAGCAAACUUGUUUAUUAUAUAACGGUGUGUUAACACACUAGCCUGGGUAAGCACCAUGAAAUAUGAUCACAUAGAUAAUUAUUGUGUUGACUGAACGGCCUGACACACAGGUGGUCCCUAAUGUAUUUCUAUGUAUUCUUUGUUAUAUCCAAAUAAGGAUGGAUAACUCAUAACACUGGCGCCUGGGGUCUGCAUCCUAAUUAAACGUCAUUGAUAAGCUAUAAAUAAUUAGCUAUGCUUGCAAAAUAACACUGCCCUAACUGGAAAAACCUGUUCUUACCUUGAGAUUGACUGAUCUAGCUAGAGUCUAUGCUUGAUUGACUGUUUGUCUGGAUUGGAUGGCAAUGAUAAACACUGAUCGUGAUUGCCAGCAAACCCUGCCUCUCCCCCCAGAGGCUAUAAAGUUAGCGGACGAGGGGCUGUCAAGCUUAACUAAGCAGGUUGAAAAAAAGUUCAAGGAGGAUUUGAUGGACAUUACGUGCCUACUUUUGCUCCCAACCUAUAUUCCUGAAUUCAAGAGGUUUCUCCUCUCCCAAACGAUGCGACAUUGCGUUUCCGAAGAAGAGCGUUUGCUAAUACCUAAGGCCAGUCGCAAGGAACUUCAAGAAAUGUUCGUAAAUAAAUUCCAAUGGUUUAAUUCCACAUUAUUUGAUGUACUACCCAAGUAUGUACCUGAGAGGAUAAAAGAUGUUGUUAUGCCCAAGUUAGCUGCAAUACAAAAAAUUGUGGAUGAGUACUUCAAUGGAACGGGAAGACUGAUAAUAGAUCCAUCACAAAUUCUUAUUGUCUUUGAUUCGGCUUAUGAGGAUAUUCCAGCCUCUCAAUUUGAUGAUCUGUAUAAGAUAGCUCUAGAAGCAACGGGGUUCGAAUGUGAUGUUGGCCACUGCGACGUUGCUGAAGCUAUGAUUAUUAGGAUGAAAAUGUACGAUAAACCCAUACAGGAGUCUCUACAAGAUAGCGAUUACGAAGAGGAACUGUGCCCACUGGGACGAGGGCAUAGGAUGAAACGUAAACUGAAUAAUAGGAAGACGGUUACUGAUACCUCAAGCUACACGGACACAAUGCACUUUGUGUCCCAAGCCGAACCAUAAAAAAUGUCUGUUAUAGGUUUUUCCUCACAUUUGCAUGCAUGGAGGUUUUUUCCUUGCUUUAUCUCAUAAAGCAAAAUUAUGUGUGUAUCUAUAAUGCUCAA
Long non-coding RNA from Halichondria panicea, 2380 nucleotides. RefSeq lists it as uncharacterized. Lineage: Eukaryota; Metazoa; Porifera; Demospongiae; Suberitida; Halichondriidae. The transcript has 3 exons. The record is from RefSeq and is a predicted model, not a curated record.